UACGAAGGUGGCAAGCGUUGUUCGGAAUUACUGGGCGUAAAGGGCUCGUAGGUGGCCAACUAAGUCAGACGUGAAAUCCCCCGGCUCAACCGGGGAAUUGCGCUUAAAACUACUGUGCUAGAGGAAGACAGAGGUGAGCGGAACUUCGGGUGGAGCGGUGAAAUGCGUAGAUAUCAGAAGGAACAUCAGUGGCGAAGGCGGCUUCCUGGACCAAUACUGACGAUCAGGUGCGAAAGCGUGGGGAGCAAACAGG
RNAcentral lists this ribosomal RNA (253 nucleotides) under uncultured bacterium. RNAcentral's name for it is "partial 16S ribosomal RNA". It matches the Rfam family "Bacterial small subunit ribosomal RNA", at positions 524 to 776 of the family's 1533-position model. The record is from RNAcentral.